GGUGCUAUAGUGUAGUGGUUAUCACUCGGGAUUUUGACUAUCGUACUGUGUGUUGCUCCGGUCAUCAUUCCCGAAACCCAGGUUCGAACCCUGGUAGCACCU
Non-coding RNA from Paramarasmius palmivorus, 102 nucleotides. The record is from the annotation of a GenBank genome assembly. Lineage: Eukaryota; Fungi; Basidiomycota; Agaricomycetes; Agaricales; Marasmiaceae.